ACGGGAGGCAGCAGUGGGGGAUAUUGCACAAUGGGGGCAACCCUGAUCCAGCGACGCCGCGUGAGUGAAGAAGUAUUUCGGUAUGUAAAGCUCUAUCAGCAGGGAAGAUGAUGACGGUACCUGACUAAGAAGCCCCGGCUAACUACGUGCCAGCAGCCGAGGUAAUACGUAGGGGGCAAGCGUUAUCCGGAUUUACUGGGUAUAAAGGGAGUGUAGGCGGCUUAGCACGUCAGAAGUGAAAACCCGGGGCUUAACUCCGGGACUGCUUUUGAAACUGUUGGGCUUGAGUGCAGGAGAGGUAAGCGGAAUUCCUAGUGUAGCGGUGAAAUGCGUAGAUAUUAGGAAGAACACCGGUGGCGAAUGCGGCUUACUGGACUGAGACUGACGCUGAGGCUCGAAAGCGUGGGGAGCAAACAGGAUUAGAUACCCUGGUA
This 434-nucleotide ribosomal RNA is filed under the name uncultured Lachnospiraceae bacterium. Its description in RNAcentral is "partial 16S ribosomal RNA". It matches the Rfam family "Bacterial small subunit ribosomal RNA", at positions 341 to 792 of the family's 1533-position model. The record is from RNAcentral. Lineage: Bacteria; Bacillati; Bacillota; Clostridia; Lachnospirales; Lachnospiraceae.